GGUUAAGCGACUAAGCGUACACGGUGGAUGCCCUGGCAGUCAGAGGCGAUGAAGGACGUGCUAAUCUGCGAUAAGCGUCGGUAAGGUGAUAUGAACCGUUAUAACCGGCGAUUUCCGAAUGGGGAAACCCAGUGUGUUUCGACACACUAUCAUUAACUGAAUCCAUAGGUUAAUGAGGCGAACCGGGGAACUGAAACAUCUAAGUACCCCGAGGAAAAGAAAUCAACCGAGAUUCCCCCAGUAGCGGCGAGCGAACGGGGAGGAGCCCAGAGCCUGAAUCAGUGUGUGUGUUAGUGGAAGCGUCUGGAAAGGCGCGCGAUACAGGGUGACAGCCCCGUACACAAAAAUGCACAUACUGUGAGCUCGAUGAGUAGGGCGGGACACGUGGUAUCCUGUCUGAAUAUGGGGGACCAUCCUCCAAGGCUAAAUACUCCUGACUGACCGAUAGUGAACCAGUACCGUGAGGGAAAGGCGAAAAGAACCCCGGCGAGGGGAGUGAAAAAGAACCUGAAACCGUGUACGUACAAGCAGUGGGAGCCUCUUUAUGGGGUGACUGCGUACCUUUUGUAUAAUGGGUCAGCGACUUAUAUUCUGUAGCAAGGUUAACCGAAUAGGGGAGCCGAAGGGAAACCGAGUCUUAACUGGGCGUUAAGUUGCAGGGUAUAGACCCGAAACCCGGUGAUCUAGCCAUGGGCAGGUUGAAGGUUGGGUAACACUAACUGGAGGACCGAACCGACUAAUGUUGAAAAAUUAGCGGAUGACUUGUGGCUGGGGGUGAAAGGCCAAUCAAACCGGGAGAUAGCUGGUUCUCCCCGAAAGCUAUUUAGGUAGCGCCUCGUGAAUUCAUCUCCGGGGGUAGAGCACUGUUUCGGCAAGGGGGUCAUCCCGACUUACCAACCCGAUGCAAACUGCGAAUACCGGAGAAUGUUAUCACGGGAGACACACGGCGGGUGCUAACGUCCGUCGUGAAGAGGGAAACAACCCAGACCGCCAGCUAAGGUCCCAAAGUCAUGGUUAAGUGGGAAACGAUGUGGGAAGGCCCAGACAGCCAGGAUGUUGGCUUAGAAGCAGCCAUCAUUUAAAGAAAGCGUAAUAGCUCACUGGUCGAGUCGGCCUGCGCGGAAGAUGUAACGGGGCUAAACCAUGCACCGAAGCUGCGGCAGCGACGCUUAUGCGUUGUUGGGUAGGGGAGCGUUCUGUAAGCCUGCGAAGGUGUGCUGUGAGGCAUGCUGGAGGUAUCAGAAGUGCGAAUGCUGACAUAAGUAACGAUAAAGCGGGUGAAAAGCCCGCUCGCCGGAAGACCAAGGGUUCCUGUCCAACGUUAAUCGGGGCAGGGUGAGUCGACCCCUAAGGCGAGGCCGAAAGGCGUAGUCGAUGGGAAACAGGUUAAUAUUCCUGUACUUGGUGUUACUGCGAAGGGGGACGGAGAAGGCUAUGUUGGUAGGGCGACGGUUGUCCCGGUUUAAGCGUGUAGGCUGGUUUUCCAGGCAAAUCCGGAAAAUCAAGGCUGAGGCGUGAUGACGAGGCACUACGGUGCUGAAGCAACAAAUGCCCUGCUUCCAGGAAAAGCCUCUAAGCAUCAGGUAACAUCAAAUCGUACCCCAAACCGACACAGGUGGUCAGGUAGAGAAUACCAAGGCGCUUGAGAGAACUCGGGUGAAGGAACUAGGCAAAAUGGUGCCGUAACUUCGGGAGAAGGCACGCUGAUAUGUAGGUGAAGCGACUUGCUCGUGGAGCUGAAAUCAGUCGAAGAUACCAGCUGGCUGCAACUGUUUAUUAAAAACACAGCACUGUGCAAACACGAAAGUGGACGUAUACGGUGUGACGCCUGCCCGGUGCCGGAAGGUUAAUUGAUGGGGUUAGCGGUAACGCGAAGCUCUUGAUCGAAGCCCCGGUAAACGGCGGUACCGUAACUAUAACGGUCCUAAGGUAGCGAAAUUCCUUGUCGGGUAAGUUCCGACCUGCACGAAUGGCGUAAUGAUGGCCAGGCUGUCUCCACCCGAGACUCAGUGAAAUUGAACUCGCUGUGAAGAUGCAGUGUACCCGCGGCAAGACGGAAAGACCCCGUGAACCUUUACUAUAGCUUGACACUGAACAUUGAGCCUUGAUGUGUAGGAUAGGUGGGAGGCUUUGAAGUGUGGACGCCAGUCUGCAUGGAGCCGACCUUGAAAUACCACCCUUUAAUGUUUGAUGUUCUAACGUUGGCCCGUAAUCCGGGUUGCGGACAGUGUCUGGUGGGUAGUUUGACUGGGGCGGUCUCCUCCUAAAGAGUAACGGAGGAGCACGAAGGUUGGCUAAUCCUGGUCGGACAUCAGGAGGUUAGUGCAAUGGCAUAAGCCAGCUUGACUGCGAGCGUGACGGCGCGAGCAGGUGCGAAAGCAGGUCAUAGUGAUCCGGUGGUUCUGAAUGGAAGGGCCAUCGCUCAACGGAUAAAAGGUACUCCGGGGAUAACAGGCUGAUACCGCCCAAGAGUUCAUAUCGACGGCGGUGUUUGGCACCUCGAUGUCGGCUCAUCACAUCCUGGGGCUGAAGUAGGUCCCAAGGGUAUGGCUGUUCGCCAUUUAAAGUGGUACGCGAGCUGGGUUUAGAACGUCGUGAGACAGUUCGGUCCCUAUCUGCCGUGGGCGCUGGAGAACUGAGGGGGCUGCUCCUAGUACGAGAGGACCGGAGUGGACGCAUCACUGGUGUUCGGGUUGUCAUGCCAAUGGCACUGCCCGGUAGCUAAAUGCGGAAGAGAUAAGUGCUGAAAGCAUCUAAGCACGAAACUUGCCCCGAGAUGAGUUCUCCCUGAGACUUUAAGUCUCCUGAAGGAACGUUGAAGACGACGACGUUGAUAGGCCGGGUGUGUAAGCGCAGCGAUGCGUUGAGCUAACCGGUACUAAUGAACCGUGAGGCUUAACCUU
RNAcentral lists this ribosomal RNA (2903 nucleotides) under Escherichia coli. RNAcentral's name for it is "23S ribosomal RNA". It matches the Rfam family "Bacterial large subunit ribosomal RNA". The record is from RNAcentral. Lineage: Bacteria; Pseudomonadati; Pseudomonadota; Gammaproteobacteria; Enterobacterales; Enterobacteriaceae.